Molecule: long non-coding RNA, 2737 nt
Organism: Chelonia mydas (Green sea turtle)
Lineage: Eukaryota; Metazoa; Chordata; Testudines; Cheloniidae
Exons: 2
Source: RefSeq, a predicted model, not a curated record
UGCAGUCUUGUGGCCAAGGGUGACCCGCUGAAUGUAGAUGCAGGUGCAACACACACACACACACACACCCCGUGUUUUCGAAGUGGCAGUUCUUUACCUAAUUUAAAAAAAAAAGAUUUUGCAAACUAGAUUCUACUUUGAAACCACUGAGUCAGGAUAUGUUUUUAUAUAAUAAUUUAAACCACAGAAACAUGAAGAGAGGAACCAGGAAACAGUAUAUCCCCUGGGGAUAGGAAGCAAUUGAACAAGCAGCAGCUAGCUGGUUGCCAAGAAGAAAAUGCUUCAAAAAGGGCAUUGCUUUUUCCAGUUUACACUAGGCUUUUCUAAUGCAUCCAUCACUGUAUUUAGGUGCCAAAUACAAAUUUAUCCACAAAGGACCCUGUUCUUCCUCCACUUCUUGGUCCAGCUACUGGUGCUUAGAAAAAUAUAUUCCCCCAUGCCAUCAACAAUCUUUCCAUUAGAAAACGUAUGUAAGUUAUCAGAAAGAAAAAAAUUGGGAAGUGAUGGGUUUGAGGUCAUGCACUGAAAACAUGCAGAUUCAUUCUGACCUGUUGUGAGCAAUUCCACUGUUAAAAGCUCUCACCCAAAAGCCAGAUGGUCCCUGUCAGCUUGUAGCAGGCCUCAGCACAGGAAUUGUAACUAACUUCAGUAUUUUUAAUUGGUUCUGUUAUUUUCUUCACAGCAGAAAAUAGCUAUCAAGAUACCUAUCACAAUGUAAAAUCCUUGUAACAACCAGGCAAGGUUGGUUUUCCUCAACAUAGCCAGUCCAGGUGAACUCUCAGUGGGAGGGGCUGGGGUAGGCUUUUUCUCAACUAGCUAUCUUGGUAAAAACUAAAUUGUCUGAUCUCUAGGAUUUACAUUGCAAUAGAUACCUUGAUGUAAAAAAUCACUUUUGCAGUGAAGACACAGCCUCUGGUAUGAUAGCAUAAACCCUCUGUGUAUGUGAGCACAUGGGGAAAACACUUUAAACUGGUUUAAAACCGUAUUAUAGCAAUCUAAUUCGUUCAAUUACUAUAUAAACCAGCUUAAGACAAUAACUGACUGAACUAAGCUAAAUCAAUAUAAACUAGUUAUAAGCCAGCUUCAUUGUGUUCACACAGGAAUUUUCACUGUUUUAGCUCAGUUUAAAUAUUGAUUUUAGUUAAAUCAAUGCAAUUUGUGUUUAAAUGGCUAAAGUCUCUAGCAACAAACUGAAUAAGAGGUUUUGGAUAAAGUUUAAAAGAUGUAAACAUUCCUACAAAAAGUUUUCCCCCUCCAGAAAUCUCUGCUGGGAAUCCAUACUCUUCCCAGUGAUCAAAGUUUCAUGUUAAAAUUCAAAUUAAAGAAAAAAAUCUUUUCAAGGUUCAACAAUGAAAUAACAUUUUCUUAUCACCAGACUACCAACAGCUCCAACUCCCUACACAUGAUCUCCUAGAGGAAGGAAAGCAGGCAGUAUUUAUAUUUUGCCCCGUUUCGUGGCUGAGAGAGGAGGUGUUUCGCCCACCCACUUCCUGGAUCCCAAUAAGAUUAAAGGCUAUGGUACUAAGUCCUGGAUAGCAUUAUUAGCCUGGGUUCUACCACUGCUAUAUUGGGACCACUUGCUCGCUCUCUCUCUCUCUUUGUUUGCUUUAUGCACUGGGGCUGCACUUGCAAGAAGAAAACCUGGAAUAGGGUAGCAUAGCAUAGGACAGUGGUUCUCAAACUAUGGGGUGGGUCUCCUCUAUCGCCUCCUAUUGCUGAGAUAACAUUGCUUCCUCCUUGGUGUGCAGGUUAGUGAUCUAUCCCCUCAAUUAGAGGAAAAGCUAGCUCCCACCCUUCUGCAAAUCAGCUCUGAACUGAACCAGGUUCUCUCCUUUUCUUCCCCCUCCAUGCCUGGCAUUGGCUGCAGGUAUAACGGGGUUGGGCUAGAUGGACCCAAAGAUUCUCUUUAACCCUUGCUGCGCUGGCUGGCUCUGCUUCAUCAUAAGCACCAUUUGCAAACAAUUAUUUUUUUAUUAAAGACCUACAUGAUCUUCCUUCCAGCCAUUAGCAGAGUACCAGAACUCUGUUGCAUAACCAAUACAAUUUUGGGAUAAAAACAAUGCUUAGUAAAUCUCAGGUCUGUGAUGGGGUGUAUCAACCCCACACUGGUGAGGCAAGGGUUAAGAAGCUGCUCUGCCUGCAGGACGCCACACCCCCUUGCCCUUGCGGGACAUGUUCCUGGUGGUGAGAACAUUCAAAAGGGAGCAGCUCAGUAUACAGGCUGACUGAGAAGGAGAGCAAGUGGGGGAAACAGCUGCUGGGCUUUAGCUACCUAGCCAAACAGCUGGAAGUCCAUUGAUUGACUGUGUUAGCUAAGAGUGAUGACUCACUGUCUCUGAGAGAAGGGGCGCUGCAGAUGAACCUGCUGGCAGGAAACCAGGAGGGGUCUGAGACCAAGUUGUGAGACAAACACAGAUACUUUUCAAAGUUGCUGGAGCCUACCUGUGACUACAACUUUCUAGAGACCAGGAUUGUUUUCUCUUCUUCCCCUGUCACCCAAAUAAAAGUAAAUACAGAAGUGAGUCUCCUUAUCUACCUGAUCUGGUCCUGGUUUGAGGGAGAAGAGAUGCUGCGCAUGGGAAAGGGUGAUGCUGCACAAUGGAAGAAUUCAAAAUGGAUAGGAAGUCCUCAGACACUUGGGGUAGGGGGAGGUAAAGAUUUCAACUGGAAUUAGGUGUAAUGUUUCUCUGACUUCCACUACAACUGCUCUAUGUAAUAAUCAUAAGUUUCAAUUAGG